ACCAAUCAAGACAUCAGAAUUCUAAUCUUUAAGGAUUACUCUUUGCAAAUCACACAGCAGAGACACGUCUUCACACCCAUCUGCUCAGUGUUACACAAAAAAAGGCAUAAGAUUUGCUUUGUUAUAUCCUGCCACACUUACGCAUUGCAAACCAUACUCUAUCGGCCUCUUCAGUAUCAGAGGUUUACCACCUUUCUUCAAAAUGUUCUCUCAG
Non-coding RNA from Pelobates cultripes (western spadefoot toad), 214 nucleotides. The record is from the annotation of a GenBank genome assembly. Lineage: Eukaryota; Metazoa; Chordata; Amphibia; Anura; Pelobatidae.